GAUGAACGCUGGCGGCGUGCCUAAUACAUGCAAGUCGAGCGAACAGAUGAGGGGCUUGCUCCUCUGACGUUAGCGGCGGACGGGUGAGUAACACGUGGAUAACCUACCUAUAAGACUGGGAUAACUUCGGGAAACCGGAGCUAAGACCGGUUAAUAUAUUUAACCGCAUGGUUCAAUAGUGAAAGACGGUUUUGCUGUCACUUAUAGAUGGAUCCGCGCCGCAUUAGCUAGUUGGUAAGGUAACGGCUUACCAAGGCAACGAUGCGUAGCCGACCUGAGAGGGUGAUCAGCCCCACUGGAACUGAGACACGGCCCAGACUCCUACGGGAGGCAGCAGUGGGGAAUCUUCCGCAAUGGGCGAAAGCCUGACGGAGCAAAGCCGCGUGAGUGAUGAAGGUCUUCGGAUCGUAAAACUCUGUUAUUAGGGAAGAACAAAUGUGUAAGUAACUAUGCACGCCUUGACGGUACCUAAUCAGAAAGCCACGGCUAACUACGUG
This 497-nucleotide ribosomal RNA is filed under the name uncultured bacterium. RNAcentral's name for it is "partial 16S ribosomal RNA". It matches the Rfam family "Bacterial small subunit ribosomal RNA", at positions 28 to 507 of the family's 1533-position model. The record is from RNAcentral.